This 846-nucleotide long non-coding RNA is filed under the name Anas platyrhynchos platyrhynchos (common mallard). RNAcentral describes it as "lncRNA (ENSAPLG00000021337.1)". Lineage: Eukaryota; Metazoa; Chordata; Aves; Anseriformes; Anatidae. The record is from RNAcentral.
AUGGAGGAUGGGCCAUGCCCCAGGUGUCCCAGCAUGGCUGGCCUCCACAGCUCCUUGGCCUCAGCAGUGCAGCUGCGUGGGGGCCCUGUGAGGUUGCUUGGCCUCCUGCAUGUGCCUGAAUCAUGCAAGAACAGCAAGUGGCUAAUGAGGGUCUGUCAGCCACCCCGUGGUGGUGGCCAUGUCCUGGGAACUGAGUGCAGUUUAGGAUUUGGGCCUGCGCGAGUCCUGGAGCAGGAAGCCCUCAUGGUGUACGCGGUCAGGAUCCACCAGUGUUUAGUUUCUCUUGUAGAGGUGAUGUGAAACUUAGAAACUAAUUAAUGCCAGUCACCAGUGCUCCUCCUUGGUAUUCAGUGUAGACUUCAGGAAGUACCCACCAGCUCUUGGUAAUUCUGUCCCUGGUAAGUUAUCACAACCAUUUGACACAAGCUUUCCAACAUCUCCCACUCCCUUUACUAUCGUAGGAUGUGAUUUAUCAUUGCAGUCCAGGUGAUCCGACAACUUUUAAGAGUACUAAUUGCCUUAUUAUCCACUCCGGUGCAAGAGUAAAACCUUUUGACAUUUUACUUCCUUCCCUGAGGAAAACAAAUCCUGCUUCCUGGGACAUUACCUUCUGCUGCCUCUGUGAUUACUGGGGCGAAGAAUUUCUCUAGGCCAUUUGCCUUAUCAGCCUCAUCUGUCACCAACUUGCCAGUCCCUGCUCUCAGUGCUCCCUCAGUGCUUUGCAUCCUCCAUUAUUUCAUGUAUUUCUGUAUUUUUUUCCUUUUCUUUUUUAUUUGUCAUGUCAAUGUUCAUCACAUAUUCCAUUCCUUUUUUUCUAUCAAUGUGCUUUUUCACAUCAGGCUCUGU